This 88-nucleotide unclassified non-coding RNA is filed under the name Pseudomonas synxantha. The record is from RNAcentral. Lineage: Bacteria; Pseudomonadati; Pseudomonadota; Gammaproteobacteria; Pseudomonadales; Pseudomonadaceae.
GUGGGAGGGGGCUUGCCCCCGAUGACGGUGUGUCAGCAAACACUAAUGUUGCUUGACACACCGCUAUCGGGGGCAAGCCCCCUCCCAC